GAAAAAGAUUGGAUUAACCUGGAAGCCAAAGCUGCUUAUGAAGAAAUGAUUACAUUACAAGCCUAUCAUGCUUCUUACGGACCACCACAAACGGACCAAGAAAUUAUGACGAUGGUGCUUGGAAAAAGAUCAAAUUACAUAAUAGGAAUGAGAUAUGGACCAAAACCUCCCAAAAGUCAAGCAUCAUCGCAAUACUCAGAGGACUACGUCCAAUCAUUGGAGUCUCGCCUAGCAAGAACCGAGGAAGCAUUAGCGACUCAGUAACAAGAGACUCAACAGCAACUUGAAUCUCAACAGCAGGAGACACAACAACAAUUAGAGAGAACAUUGGCAGCUGAACGACAAGCGACUGAACAAUGGCUAGAAAGGCAACGCCAAGAGUUUGAAAUGAAACCUGAAGAUUGAUGCAACGAUAUAUGGUGGAAACAUAUUUUGUAACCUUGGCUCGAUUGGAGGGAAAAUGUUAUUUCUAAAUUUAGGUAGACAUUUCGUUGUUUUAAUUUUCAGAAAUUUCAUUCUAUAUGUACGUACUCUAAUUGAAUUGUUUUUAUUUGCAGAAACUUGUAUAUGUUUUCAAUGACAUAUAUUGUUUAAUGAAAUUCAUAUUAUUAUCUAA
This is a non-coding RNA of Momordica charantia (bitter melon), 616 nucleotides long. The record is from RefSeq and is a predicted model, not a curated record. Lineage: Eukaryota; Viridiplantae; Streptophyta; Magnoliopsida; Cucurbitales; Cucurbitaceae.